CACGGGUGAGUAACACGUAUGCAACCUGCCUGUAAGCGGGGAAUAACCCGUUGAAAGACGGACUAAUACCGCAUAAUACUAAAUACUGCAUGGUAAUUUAUUUAAACAUUUAUGGCUUACAGAUGGGCAUGCGCAUGAUUAGCUAGUUGGAGAGGUAACGGCUCCCCAAGGCAACGAUCAUUAGGGGUUCUGAGAGGAAGGUCCCCCACACUGGUACUGAGACACGGACCAGACUCCUACGGGAGGCAGCAGUGAGGAAUAUUGGUCAAUGGACGAGAGUCUGAACCAGCCAAGUCGCGUGCAGGAAGAAUGUUCCCUAUGGAUUGUAAACUGCUUUUGCAGGGGAAUAAAGUGCAUCACGUGUGAUGUUUUGUAUGUACUCUGCGAAUAAGGAUCGGCUAACUCCGUGCCAGCCGCCGC
This 420-nucleotide ribosomal RNA is filed under the name uncultured bacterium. RNAcentral's name for it is "bacterial SSU rRNA". It matches the Rfam family "Bacterial small subunit ribosomal RNA", at positions 100 to 518 of the family's 1533-position model. The record is from RNAcentral.